This 708-nucleotide ribosomal RNA is filed under the name uncultured marine eukaryote. Its description in RNAcentral is "SSU rRNA". It matches the Rfam family "Eukaryotic small subunit ribosomal RNA", at positions 618 to 1331 of the family's 1831-position model. The record is from RNAcentral.
GUUAAAACGCUCGUAGUCGGAUUUCGGGGCGUUCCCGCCGGUCUGCCGAUGGGUACGCACUGGCGGGCGCGUCCUUCCUUCCGGAGACUGUCCCUACUCUUAGCUGAGCGGGGUCGGGAGACGGAUCGUUUACUUCGAAAAAAUCAGAGUGUUUCAAGCAGGCAGCUCGCUCUUGCAUGGAUUAGCAUGGGAUAAUGAAAUAGGACUUUGGUGCUAUUUUGUUGGUUUCGAACACCGAAGUAAUGAUUAACAGGGACAGUCAGGGGCACUCGUAUUCCGCCGAGAGAGGUGAAAUUCUCAGACCAGCGGAAGACGAACCACUGCGAAAGCAUUUGCCAGGGAUGUUUUCACUGAUCAAGAACGAAAAUUAGGGGAUCGAAGACGAUCAGAUACCGUCGUAGUCUUAACCAUAAACCAUGCCGACUAGGGAUUGGAGGAUGUCCUUUUUUGACUCCUUCAGCACCUUACGGGAAACUAAAGUCUUUGGGUUCCGGGGGGAGUAUGGUCGCAAGGCUGAAACUUAAAGGAAUUGACGGAAGGGCACCACCAGGUGUGGAGCCUGCGGCUUAAUUUGACUCAACACGGGGAAACUUACCAGGUCCAGACAUUGUGAGGAUUGACAGAUUGAGAGCUCUUUCUUGAUUCGAUGGGUGGUGGUGCAUGGCCGUUCUUAGUUGGUGGAGUGAUUUGUCUGGUUAAUUCCGUUAA